RNAcentral lists this long non-coding RNA (711 nucleotides) under Cricetulus griseus (Chinese hamster). RNAcentral's name for it is "lncRNA (ENSCGRG00015038584.1)". Lineage: Eukaryota; Metazoa; Chordata; Mammalia; Rodentia; Cricetidae. The record is from RNAcentral.
GUAAAGGCCACGCAGGUUCCAGGCGUUCUGAGUUCCGCUGGCCCUUCGGCCAGUCCUCAUAGGUGGGCUUCACAGUCCCUGGGAGUCGUCAGUUAUUUGCCCUUCUCUUCCUGAAAAUGUUUCUCUGAGAGCUGACAGAAUGACACUUGGUCCCCAGCUACUGCAGCCUCCCUGUCCUAAAUCAUAACCGUUCUGGACCUGCAUCCUACUCAGUAAACCACAGAUUCUGCCAUGGAGACCUUGUAUGAGCUAUGACCUCAUCCCUAUUUUGCAGUAAAUAUAUUAAUCUCCUUGUGAAAUCAGCACUCUACUUCGAGAUACAGGAUUGCACUUCAGACUUGCCACCGCCCUUUUAAAGUUCAUCAUGCUUUUCUUUGCAUCAGACAGGGUUUCUCGGUGGCUUUGGAGGAUGCCCUGGAACUAGCUCUUGAGACCAUCUCAAACUCAUAGAGAUCUGCCUGCUUCUGCCUCCCGAGUACUGGGACUAAAGGCAUGCGCCACUAAUGCCCAUCACUGCUGUUUUCUGCCUGAGUCAGAAACUUUUCUUCCCCACUUAAUAAAGGAUCUCUCUGUGAAGAAAAACAAAAAGACUAUGUCUCUCUAUAUAAAGUUUUAUAACUAUUCACUUAUUUUGCGCGUAGGAGGCAUUGAGCACUCUCUACCUACAAUCUUGCUGUAGGAAUGCUGUGAUUACAGAUGGCACCACCACAG